Long non-coding RNA from Dreissena polymorpha, 564 nucleotides. RefSeq lists it as uncharacterized. NCBI's taxonomy places the organism in Eukaryota, Metazoa, Mollusca, Bivalvia, Myida, Dreissenidae. The record is from RefSeq and is a predicted model, not a curated record. The transcript has 3 exons.
CAGAAAGUUUACCUGUUAGAUUGAAACGUGAAACAUGGUGAACAAUGUACUGGUUUAACUUGUUAAAAUAAAGUUAAAGAAAUUUAACAAACAGAAGAGUUCAUGAGUUUUUCCAUUAAAAACACAUUCUUAAAAUACUUAUGUAUUUAUAUCAUUUGGAAAGUGACAUGAAAUAUUGCUAAAGAGUGAUGCAUACAGUGUUUGAGCAGUCUGUCUAGGAAUAGAACAACAACUGAAGUUGAUGGAAGAUACUGCAGAGUUUGGCAGGGAAAUAAUCCAACAGCAAAGCGGCUCUUUAAGCGCAUUUACCUAGAGGACUUACAGGGCCACAAAUUCAUGAGCACAUGUGAGCAGUAUACAAUGUACCUCAUACCAAAAAGGACCCGGAGGCAGUGACUGGUGUUCAAUAUUCUCAGAAGAAAAGGAAAAUGGCAGUGGAAGACUUGGACAAACAUUUUUAAAAACUAGCCUCUGUGUUAAGCCUGGCAGUCUGUGGCUGGUGACAUGUUUUAUUUUGGUUACUUCUUGUAUAAAAAAGACCAGUUAUUUAUUUUGUGAAUUGUA